AGGUAUUCCCCAUGCGCUGGCUAAAUGGUAGCCGUAUAUCAUAUGCGUGUAUAUGUACCUGCCACGUACGUGUCCACAAGCUUCACAUUCUUAAUUAAUAUUUAUACCUAUUAAACCAAGAUAGUAAUUUUCAAAAAUUAGAUCAGAAGCCUGCAAAAAUCAUGAGCACCGCAAAGGUAUAAGUAAAUAAUAGGUUGUAUGGUACAUAUUUAUUUAUUUAUUUAUUUACUAUAUGGUUACCAAUUUUAUUUUGUGAACUCAGGCUACUGAAAAGAUUAAUGAUAAAGGGGUAUUAGAGACUAGGGUUGAGACGGUGGAUUUUCGGUCACCGGCGGGGAAAAAUGAAGAAGAAGCUGUGAAAAGGGACGUGGUGGUGGUCCAUCAGAGUGAAGAUUCCGGCACCGGAACCGGAGGUUGUCGGAAUGUUUUUGUGGAUGCAGCUGCCGCAGUGGCUAGCAAAGUUGGACCUGGAAAAGAUGAUAUAUAGCUCUGGUGGGAAACAAUGGAAUAUGAUGUGAAGAACAUGUAUGUAGUAUGUAUUGAAUAAAAGUUCACUGUACUUGAUAAAAGAAUACAUACCUUUCUUCGUGGCUUUUCAUUUUGGAGUUUUGCGAUUUUGUGAUAAUAAUAAUAAAAAAUAUUCCUUUUUCUUGUGCUAUAUUUUACAAUAACAAAAUUAAAUAAUUUUUAAAUAUUAUUUA
RNAcentral lists this long non-coding RNA (701 nucleotides) under Panax ginseng (ginseng). RNAcentral describes it as "long non-coding RNA (PGIN_LNC006012)". The record is from RNAcentral. Lineage: Eukaryota; Viridiplantae; Streptophyta; Magnoliopsida; Apiales; Araliaceae.